This 497-nucleotide ribosomal RNA is filed under the name uncultured bacterium. RNAcentral's name for it is "partial 16S ribosomal RNA". It matches the Rfam family "Bacterial small subunit ribosomal RNA", at positions 28 to 507 of the family's 1533-position model. The record is from RNAcentral.
GAUGAACGCUGGCGGCGUGCCUAAUACAUGCAAGUAGAACGCUGAAGGAAGGAGCUUGCUCUUUCCGGAUGAGUUGCGAACGGGUGAGUAACGCGUAGGUAACCUGCCUGGUAGCGGGGGAUAACUAUUGGAAACGAUAGCUAAUACCGCAUAACAGUAGAUGUUGCAUGAUAUCUACUUAAAAGGUGCAAUUGCACCACUACCAGAUGGACCUGCGUUGUAUUAGCUAGUCGGUGAGGUAACGGCUCACCAAGGCGACGAUACAUAGCCGACCUGAGAGGGUGAUCGGCCACACUGGGACUGAGACACGGCCCAGACUCCUACGGGAGGCAGCAGUAGGGAAUCUUCGGCAAUGGACGGAAGUCUGACCGAGCAACGCCGCGUGAGUGAAGAAGGUUUUCGGAUCGUAAAGCUCUGUUGUAAGAGAAGAACGAGUGUGAGAGUGGAAAGUUCACACUGUGACGGUAGCUUACCAGAAAGGGACGGCUAACUACGUG